CCUGGAGUGCUGCUCGACAGGGGCAGAGGUGGGGGGGGUGGCGGAUGUCCAGUGAUUCAACCACAUGUGAUAUAGAUGACCAAGUGACUGCUUCCUUGGGGUCCGCACAUCAGUGGAAGACACCCACACUGGUUGUGGCUGACUUCAUCAAACUCUGGCUCCCCGAACCGGAAUGAAAUGCAGUUAACUCUUUAGAAAACUUUCGCAGGAAAAGCGCCUCGUGUGAUCUGGAACAAAGACAUUUUAUAAUCAGAUUUAUCAAGCUGUGAAGAGGGAGUUUUAGCGAACGGAAGCAGCAGCAUUCUGUCACCAGGAAAUACUGCUUUAUCCAGAACUGGUAAGUGAAAAGUGGCAUCGCUCCCUAAUAGAUAUCAUAUGGUGUAUGUGGGAAUUGUAAAAUUGUUCACAGACCCCUAACAACUGUGUUGAACCAGAGAACACAUAAACAGGGUGAGGAAUUCUAGAGAGAAGUAGCCCAAGAAUAUAGCAUAAAGGCUGAGAAGAAGCCAGGUUAUUAACAAAGAUGAGCUGGGCUCUACCAGUUUAGACAAAUACAUGUAAUAUAACUCAUUGGCUUCCCGCCCAAUUCUUUUUAGUGGGGAGAGACAAAUAAAAUGGGUUGUUUGGUAGAGUUGGGGCAUUGACAUUCCAUGGGUAUACAUUUCCAUUUAGUCUGAAUAGAAUGUAUAGUAUUUGAAGGGAUGCUUUCAGAAUUCCUCAGCUCACUCUCCUAUCUCUCCCUCCACGCAAGGAUGUCAAGCAUUUAGUUAGAACUCUACAAAAUGAAAGUUUAAGUAAUGCAUUGGAAACAUUUUCUACUGAUCGUGAAGGGCAGAUUAAGCUGGUAAUAGACUUUUUUACAUUUGUGUCAUGAAUUUUAAGACUGUUCUAUUGGAUUACAAUUAGUACAACAAAAGGGUGGAUAUUUCUAAAUGGUCCAUCAUGUUUUGAGAGAUUGUGAUUAGCUGUUCUUACUGGUGAACAUGUGUCUGUCUGUCUUCCUCUGAAACAAAUUCAGUUUUGUCAUCUUGAAUCUGAGCUGCCCCUAUGUUUAAAAUUUCCAGAAAGAUACAAUAAAGCUUCGAAUACCUGUGUGAUAUACAAUGGGUUCUCAUUUGUCAACUGUAAAAAACCACAGUUUCGUAUUAGGCAUUUUAUAUUUGAUUUCUUGAUUUGGCUUUUUAAGAAUGAUUGUGCCAGGAAAGUGGACUAGAAUAAGAAAAUAUAAUUUGAAGGGUGGGAGGCUACCUGAUCUUACCAGUUUUCUUAUUGGUCAGUAGAAGCAAUCAUGUGAUGUCUACUUACAGAAUCAAAUGGGGAAAAAAAUGUUGGUUAACUGCUAGUGAUUAUAUAGGUAGUUUUGGUGAUGUUCCCUUAUGAAUGUGACUGUAUAUAAUUGAAAUUGUUAUUGACAGAGUGGUAGGUUUGGGGUUAUAUAGGAUACAGUGUUAUUUAUUUGUUUUUUUUUUUAACAACCUUAAGCCAAAUUGAAAGUUGACUCUGUCUGUCUGACUUUUGCUUCCCAUUCUGUUAAAUUGAAAGGGAGAAAUGUGUAAUAAAAAACAGGAUCUCAGUGUUGCAGUUUCUCUCUGUUGGCACUGGAGUGGGAUGAGGUUGGAGGGGAGGGGGAUGAAUCUAGGAGGAUCUGUUAAUUAUUUUUUUCCUUACACACUUUGAGAACUCUUGGUCAAUUUUUCUCAGACUAGUAGUUCUCAAGACUUCUGCCUAAGGAUUUAUUUUCAAAGAAGUAAAUAAAAAGCAAGGUGAACAUAGCCGUUAAGGGCAGUCCAAUAAAUCAGACUGGUGAUCCAAACGUGUGACUAUUACAAGUUAUUUGACUUUGUUAAGGUGUGGCUGAGGAUGGGGAAAAAUGCUGUUUGUUUCCCUGAAGCCCCUGAAUUUGUGGGGUGUACAAUCUUGAAGGCAGAAAAAUGGUGACAAAGCUUUAAGAUAUUUACAGGUAACUUCUAUCCGACUGUGAGCUUGUGUUCAGUGAUUCAGAGCUCAAAGUAAUUGUGAAUUUCAUGUAAGUACUUGGGCGAAAACAUGAUGGUAUAAUAAGCUGGCUAAAUACUGCUAUGCUUAAUGGAAAAAAAAAGCCUCUGUAAUUUCUAGGUUUUACUCAUCCAUUUAGAAGCCAUUGUUUCGAAUGACAAAAAUAUAAUAGAAGCAGGUUGAAACAAUAGAUACCAGAAAGUAGAUUCCAGAACAAUUCUUUUCAAUCUUCGUGUUUUUAAUUCUGUCUGCUCUUUUGCUAUCAGUUUCUUAAUUUUCAGAAAUAUGUUGUAAAAUAACUACCAUAACAUUGCCCUGAAUUCUCCACUUGGGGUUAUUGAGGGGAUGAAUAUUUUUGUAUACUCUGAAAAGAUAUUAAUGGUAUGCAUAUGUCUUUGUGGGCCUGUGAAACGACAAACUGAAGGGAUUCUGGGCAAAAUAAUGUCUCAAAUCGUAUCUGAUGUUUGCAUAUUCAGGGAUCUAAACACGUUCCCUUUGGGCUUGUUUCUUAAAUUUUUGGUGUGGUGUGCAGUUUUGUCCAAUAGCAUUUUUUGGGGGGUAGGUAUAUGGCUGUGUGUAUAUAUUCGACUGGAGGGGGGGACUUUAGUUGUCAGUGAAACAAGUGGCUGUUUGUUAGAACCUAGAUAAGCCUCCUAGUGUUGUUCCUAUGACAACUGAGGGGUUGGGUGUUGAAAUGUAGCUUUAAGUUCUCGGUUUGGAAAUGUCAUUCAGACCUCCCACUACAGUCUCAUUGAGUAGGAGGAUAAUGAGAAGGGGAAAAAGCCAUGAAGCAGUAGGAGUAUCUCCGUUCAUUUCAUGUCUUCCUGACUUGCCUUUGUGUACAGAUCGCCAUGGGAGUGGUAAACACAGGUUGUGAACAAAGCGAUACUUCAGGAUAAAAUAAAUGGAAAGGGGUCAGAAAAGUUGGGGGAAGAUAAAUAACAACAUAUGGGGAUAAUAACGAGGCAGGAGAAGGCGGCUUCCAUGGGUUUGUGCAAAUCCUUUAUCCAGUGCUGACCAGCAGUGAGAACAUCUUGAACCAGUUACUGUGCAGCUUUUCAAGAGCUGCAGACCUUUCCUUAAAAUGCAACGUGGAGCAUUCUGCAUUCCUUUGGUAGCAGGAGACUUUCCCACUUUGGCAUGACGUUGGCUCACCUCCUCUAGCCUGGCCGCAGAGGAUACAGUUUGCUUUGAAGAAUAGCUUCUUGUGCUUUCAUUCCCGUGGUCAACCUAAUGAAGUAAUACCUUGCUUAAAAACGAAGUGUAACUGCUUACUUGAAUGUAGAACGUGGAGUCAUUGAUUAUGAAAAGCAAGGUAAGGUGUUAUCUUAAAGGACCUUCCUUUCCUGCCUUGGAAGACUUUCAUUCUCCUUAAGCAUUUAUUCUACUAAAAGCCCAUUGCUGGUGGUGGCCUUGGAGGAAUGCUUUAGUUUUCCCGCCUCUCCUAAAAGCAAGAUGGGUAAAGACUUUUUAAAUGAAAGCCCAUCGAUUUCUCUCAGUUCAGAUUUGUGUGACGUCUACGUCGAGUGAGACUAAAGUUCUUAAAAAUGAGAGCAACUGAGUUGAGUUUGUACGGGCCCAGCGAAAAACUUCCCAGGAUGCUUUCAAAGUUCUGAUCACCUGGGGAAAAAACUCUCCGAACUUCCAGGCAUUUUCUAGUGAGUAUCAAGUAUGUGACAGUGGUUAGUUACCCUGACCCCAAGAAGGUGCCUGUUCACAGCACCCAUUGAAGUGUUUGCUCCCUGAGAGUCCCAGGCUUUGGAAACAAGUAGCCCUGUGCUUCAAGCUCAUUCUGCCCCUUGCUGGUGGAGUAAACUACUCCAUUUAUUUCCCUAAGCCCUAGAGAGAGGAGUGUCAGUCCAAACUAGCUCAGAGGGCUGUUGGGUGAAAUGAGAGAACAUGUGUAAGGCACAUGCUGUGAUCACUGGAUUAGUGGUGCUUAACACACUUGAGUUCCCUUCCCAUAUCCUUUCGGGAACAGACUUCAGUUUAGUCUCAAAGCCUGUGGAUCCAUUCUCAUAAGUUCUAGGUCUUUCUGUUUUGCAUCAGAUGAAGGAAAACAGUGAUGGCAAUGGUGGCCGCCAUUCCACCCCCCGCCCCACUUCACCACCAUGUUCUAGGUAGGCAUUCUCACAAGUGCUCUGCCUGCAUUGUCCUGUUUAAUCCUCCAGACAACCCACUGGUGCAGUGAGUAUGCCCAUUUCAUAGAUGAGGACACUGAGGCACAGGGCUGAGGGACAUGUUUGGGGCCACUCAUUCCCCUGAUAAGCUGGACCCACAGUCUGGAUCCAAAUGGGCUCUUACCAGUAUAGACGGGUAAGAACUUCUGGCAGAAAAGCAGAAUAAAAGUUGACUGAACCUGAAAGUCUCAGAAAUGGUCUUCUCAUUUCUAUUCUGCCAAGUGUCACAUCUUCCAGGCCUGUCCCUCUCAAUAUUGAAAUACACAGUUGACUUUUUCUGCUUCUUAUUUCACGAAUCAACGGGAGCAGUUUUAGUCAUUUGUGUUUUAUGAGUUUAAAUUAGGCCACUGAAGUCCAAGAGGGGAAUUCCUUGUUUUCAUUUGAUCUCAUGCACUAACAACUUUACUCAUGUAACUUCCCCUAUUUUUUUUCUCAAAUGUUUUUGCUUGAAAGUGGGGGUGGGAGGGAGAAGUAUGUGAGCAUUUGGGUCCCAGGGAUGCACUUUCAGUAGGCUUUCUGGAGAUUCUUGAUCUGGUAUAGAAUGAAGCCUUAGGAAAGUAAAAUGAGUAAGAGUGUAUAAUGACUAAUGUUUUUCUCCUUUAUCUCCAUCUAGUUCUGGGUGCAAUCUGAAAGGGCAAAACUGCAAAGUCAGGAAUUGCAGGGGGGCACCUGGGUGGCUCAGUGGGUUAAGCAUCUGCCUUCAGCUCAGGUCAUGAUCUCAGGUCCUGGGAUCAAGCUGCAUAUUGGGCUCCCUGCAGAGCCUCUCCCUUUCCCACUGCU
This is an RNA transcript of Ailuropoda melanoleuca (giant panda), 4955 nucleotides long. It is a transcript of the gene named tigger transposable element-derived protein 1-like, with no coding region annotated. The transcript has 3 exons. NCBI's taxonomy places the organism in Eukaryota, Metazoa, Chordata, Mammalia, Carnivora, Ursidae. The record is from RefSeq and is a predicted model, not a curated record.